GAUGAACGCUGGCGGCGUGCCUAAUACAUGCGAGUCGAGCGAACGGACGAGAAGCUUGCUUCUCUGAUGUUAGCGGCGGACGGGUGAGUAACACGUGGAUAACCUACCUAUAAGACUGGGAUAACUUCGGGAAACCGUAGCUAAUACCGGAUAAUAUUUUGAACCGCAUGGUUCAAAAGUGAAAGACGGUCUUGCUGUCACUUAUAGAUGGAUCCGCGCUGCAUUAGCUAGUUGGUAAGGUAACGGCUUACCAAGGCAACGAUGCAUAGCCGACCUGAGAGGGUGAUCGGCCACACUGGAACUUAGACACGGUCCAGACGCCUACGGGAGGCAGCAGUAGGGAAUCUUCCGCAAUGGGCGAAAGCCUGACGGAGCAACGCCGCGUGAGUGAUGAAGGUCUUCGGAUCGUAAAACUCUGUUAUUAGGUAAGAACAUAUGUGUAAGUAACUGUGCACAUCUUGACGGUACCUAAUCAGAAAGCCACGGCUAACUACGUG
This 497-nucleotide ribosomal RNA is filed under the name uncultured bacterium. Its description in RNAcentral is "partial 16S ribosomal RNA". It matches the Rfam family "Bacterial small subunit ribosomal RNA", at positions 28 to 507 of the family's 1533-position model. The record is from RNAcentral.